CACUGUCUGUACUAAAAGCAGUGCAGGAAAGCAUAUUCUGCCCUGCUUCAUCCCUGGGUGUGAGGUCUGCCUUUGCUGUUUAGGUGAAGACCAGCUUGUUUUGAUAUGUCAACCCAAAUGGAUUACAGCAUGCAUGAGAGGAGGUACCAGACCAUGGAAAAGCUGGAGAAACACCUCAUAUGUCCAGUGUGCCUAGAGAUGCUCAGCAGGCCUAUUGUAAUCUUGCCCUGCCAGCACAACAUGUGCAGGAAAUGUGCAAAUGAUACAUUCCAGACUCAUGCCACUGCCCUGGGGUCUGGGGGAAGGUUCUGCUGCCCUUCAUGUCAACAGGAGGUAGUACUGGACCAUUAUGGAGUAUAUGGAUUGCAGAGGAACUUGCUGGUGGAAAACAUCAUUGAGAUCUAUAAGCAGGAAUGUGCCAGGCCAAGGUCUGUGCCAAAGUCUGACCACCUGACCUGCAAAGAACAUGAGAAAGAGAAGAUAAAUGUCUACUGCAUGUCCUGCGAGGUUCUCACCUGCUGCCUCUGUAAAGUCUUUGGGAAGCAUAGGAAUUGUAAUGUUGUACCUCUCAUUGACAUUUGUAAGCGACUGAAGGCAGACCUAAGGAAUGGUAUUGAAUUGUUGGUAGCAUCGAAUGACAAAAUUCAAGAUGCCAUGUCAAGACUGAAGGAAACUCACAAGCAAAUUGAGGAAAAUUGUGAGAUUCAGAAGCAAGCCCUGUGUGCAAAGUUUGAACACAUGUCAGCCAUCCUGGAGGAAAGGAAGAAGCUUAUGCUCCAAAAAAUCACAUUGGAGGAACAAGAAAAGGCUGAGAAUGUUCUUUGCCAAGUGAAGCAGUACAACAAACUGCUAAAGUCAUCUUCCACACUGAUGGAGACUGUUCUGGAAAGCAUACAGGACUCAGACAUGGCAGCUUCAUUUCAGAAUGCUAAUAUUUUGCUACAGAAAAUUUCAGAAAUGACUCAGAAUUUGAAGAUAGAGGAGCUGGAAUUAAGUCAUGAAAAUAUGGACCAUUACACCGCUGACUUUGACGCUGUGGAGCACGUUCUUAACCAGCUGGAUUUCGUUAACAAAGGAAAGGAAGCCUCAGAAGAAAAAGAGGAAUGUGUAGCUGAAGGUGAUAGUAAUGAUGCAUCAGAGUCUAUGGACUACAGAAUAAAUUUAACAGAAUCAUCAGCCUCAUCAGUGCUACAGACAGACACAGGGACCAACAAAAAUGACACAGCACAGGAUGAACUGCAAGAAAGGAACAGGAGUGAAGCAGAGGUAACAGCAGUACAGCAGUGUGAUCUUGAAAUGGAUGAAGGACAUGGCCCUAUCAAUUUGGAAAUGCAGAACACCCUCACUGAGGUGGAAGAAGAUGACAGAGUAUCCCCAGACUGUCAAAUUGACAGCCCUCAGUUGAAUUUUGACAGCCGUGACCUACAUCAUUUUUCUGGGAAGGUGACAGUUAAAGAAUCUGAAGAAAGUUGUGGUGAACAGUUGCUGGUUGCUUUUCCAGCUUCAACAGAGCUUUGCAGUGCUAUGGAAAAGUCAACCCUAGUCAAUGAAGAGGCAAAGUCACUCAACAAAUUUACUUUUGGGACAACAGAAAUAGAAAAUACGAAGAAGGUGCUUAAAACAGAAGAUCAAGUAACUUCUAUUUUCAGUGAGGCUUUGAUUUUUCUACUGGUCAUAGCAGCAGUGGCAGUGAUCCUAGAAAAAGUGUGGCACCACAUUACCUACAUCUGGACAGACUGGAUUGAGACGCAGUGAAGCAAAAAGAAUAAGGCAACAAGAAAACCAUCAUCAUAUUUGAAUCCAGCUGAAAGGACAUCUUUGGACUGUUAAGCAGAGAGAAAGCCUGUCAGUCAGUGAGAUGCUGCCUUACAUCGGGAUUGUGCAGGUUGAUUGCAUUGGUGGACAAAACUCAAGCUGAAUUCCAUUUGUCUAUGGAAUUAUGCAACUAAUCUUUGGGCUUCCAAGUCAGAGAUUACCACUUCUGCACAGUGAAGCGUACCCGAAGACUUCAAAUCACUUCUCUAGUCUGUACAGUGGCAAAAUUACUGCUGACACUACAUGUAGCCCUAGAUUAUUUAUGGACUCUUAUGCAACUGUAGAAAUUGCUUCAUUAUACAUAACACGCAUUGUAUGUUAAAAUUUAUCAGUAUGAAGAAAAUAGUCUCAGUAGCUUCACUCAGUAAUUUUUGCCAAUUAUUUUUGGAUUUCAGAAUCACAGUUAAGCAAUGUUGGUGCUCACAUGCAUACAAAGUCUUACCUGUUUAUGAUCUAUAUAUAGUUUAAAUUGCAAAGUUUUAUUUUCUGUUUCAGAUCAUAAAGUGGGUAUGCAGAAUACAUAGACAGCUGAAUAUAUGGAUUGAUUUAUAGAUGGAAAUACAUAUUUUUACAAGUGCUCUUUCCUGAAUCAAAGCAAAAUUUUUAUAAACGGCAUAUGAACAGAAUAUAUUAUCGCAUAUUUGAAAUUAUAGCCCAUGGCAUUAAUGCAUCUAAUUUGAGACAGAUUUCUAGAAUUUCUGAAAAAACUACAUUUUUUUAUUUUUUUGGAUAACAUUUUCCCCCAAAUUUUACAUACUGUACUGUAAACUAUAUAGAUUUCAGGUCUGGAAAUUAAGUCUGGGCUUUAAAAAUGCCACACUAAACGAAUGUAAGAGAAACUGAACUGCAUUACCAAUAAUACUGUAAUAAUUUUUGGAAUACCAGACCCAAACAGCAAA
This is an RNA transcript of Protopterus annectens (West African lungfish), 2714 nucleotides long. It is a transcript of the gene named tripartite motif-containing protein 54-like, with no coding region annotated. The transcript is spliced from 12 exons. NCBI's taxonomy places the organism in Eukaryota, Metazoa, Chordata, Ceratodontiformes, Protopteridae. The record is from RefSeq and is a predicted model, not a curated record.